AGCGAACGCUGGCGGCAGGCUUAACACAUGCAAGUCGAGCGGGCAUCCUUGUGGUGUCAGCGGCAGACGGGUGAGUAACGCGUGGGAACGUGCCCUUCGGUUCGGAAUAACUCAGGGAAACUUGAGCUAAUACCGGAUACGUUCGAGAGCAGAAAGGUUUAUCUGCCGAAGGAUCGGCCCGCGUCUGAUUAGCUAGUUGGUGAGGUUACGGCUCACCAAGGCGACGAUCAGUAGCUGGUCUGAGAGGAUGAUCAGCCACACUGGGACUGAGACACGGCCCAGACUCCGACGGGGAGCAGCAGUGGGGAAUAUUGGACAAUGGGGGCAACCCUGAUACAGCCAUGCCGCGUGAGUGAUGACGGCCUUAGGGUUGUAAAGCUCUUUUCUCCGGGACGAUAAUGACGGUACCGGAGGAAUAAGCACCGGCUAACUUCGUG
Molecule: ribosomal RNA, 437 nt
Filed under: uncultured bacterium
Lineage: Bacteria
Description: partial 16S ribosomal RNA
Rfam family: Bacterial small subunit ribosomal RNA
Source: RNAcentral